GACGAGGGGUGCAAACGUUAUUCGGAAUCACUGGGUGUAAAGGGUGCGUAGACGGGAAUCCAAGCCUGUUGUUAAAUCUUUCGGCCUAACCGAAAGCUUGCGGCAGGAACUGGGUUUCUAGAGGAUGGAAGAGAGAAGUGGAAUUUCUGGAGUAGCGGUGGAAUGCGUAGAUCUCAGAAGGAACACCGAUGGCGAAGGCAGCUUCUUGGUCCAUUACUGACGUUGAGGCACGAAAGCGUGGGUAGCAAACAGG
Molecule: ribosomal RNA, 253 nt
Filed under: uncultured bacterium
Lineage: Bacteria
Description: partial 16S ribosomal RNA
Rfam family: Bacterial small subunit ribosomal RNA
Source: RNAcentral